RNAcentral lists this long non-coding RNA (3730 nucleotides) under Junco hyemalis (dark-eyed junco). RNAcentral's name for it is "lncRNA (ENSJHYG00000000770.1)". The record is from RNAcentral. Lineage: Eukaryota; Metazoa; Chordata; Aves; Passeriformes; Passerellidae.
GGGGAACACAUCAUUUUAGAAGAUGUUCUGCACCCCAAAAAUACCUUCAUCUGCUUAUAUAUUGCACAGAAUGGCAUGUCUGCUCUUGCUGGUUUUUCACCGUGACAGUCCAAGCUCUUCAUGCUGCCUUGUGGUUGAACAGCAUUGAGAAAACACCAUUGGUAACCAGAACUGAGAGCACCAGCAAGUACAGCUGCUCCACUUGUGAGCAGUCCACAGCCACUUGUCCACUGGCUCCUGCUGAAAAGAUGCCCUUUUUCUUUCUCACUGAGCUGUGAAACAGAGGUCCUGACUGUCUACAGCCAUGAAAAAUCCCAUGACUCUCCAAGUGUCAGAGACUGGAGACUUAAAAAAAUUGAUGUCAUAUCACUGCUUUCUGCUGCCUUAACAAUUAUAUUCCUUCUGAACCAUCUUAGCCUAACUGCUGGGGAGUCCCACUGUCAGGAUUACACAGAUGUUUUAUUUCCUGCUAAAGGUGGGUGAAAUAAUAAUCACCAGCUCUGCUUCAUUGGCCACCAUGUGGUCUGGAAAGGCACCAUAUGCGCAGCUUGCAGACUGCUGCAGACAGGAGGCUUGGGGGCAUUAUUUAUUAUUUGCCUAAUCAAUUUAAAUACUGUAUUUCUUUCAGAAAGCACAUUUCUAGUCUUUAUAAGGAGAUAUGUACAGGACUCAUCAAGCAGCCUUCCCUAUUGAAGUGCAUCUUCUGUUUAAACAGCCAAUAUUCUGCUUGCACAGCAUAUGGGGCUAGAAGCAAAGACCUUGCCCUUGGAGCUGCACUGUGCUCACGAGCUUUGCUCAUCACAAUCAGUUGUAAAGGUUGUUGAAGUGCAAUCCCAAUAACAACAAUUUGCAUUUCAUACUUUUGAAGACCUCUCCUUGAAGGGAGUGUGGUGCCUCUCCUCCAGCACGCAUAACGGUGUGGGCGGAGCAAGCUGCUUCCAGAGGCUGCCUUGCCUCUGGAAAGUGCUGCUGAGCCAUCCCGGUGACACCAUGUGCUGUCUCAGGUGGCAGGCGUGGGCAGUGCCUCUCUCCCACCCACUGACUUGGGAUCCUCCCGCAGGCCAGCCCAUCUUCCACAGAAGCUGCAGCGCUCUGAGGAGCAAGAUCACUGAAAUGAGCUGUUUGUUCUUGCAAGCUGCCAGCAGAGGAUGUCUGCAGUCUGGAGCGGAGGGAGAAGAUGUGUUCAGGAAGCAGGACCUGGGCAGUGCUAGAAUGCACAUCAGGCCUUUCUGCACAUCAGAAGCUCCAGAUGAGUCACCCACAGUGAGUGCCAUUACCUCCAGUGCCCUCAUCAAACACAAAGCUCAUAGCUCUGUGUUGCUUUUGCUAGUACUAUAAUCACCCACUGCAGGCUUUUCUUACAUAACUAGCAAGCCUAUGUUGACUAUGGGUUUAGCAGCUUGAGUUCACUCAUGUUUCCUAUGUUUGCAGCUUCUGUUGGGGUUUCAUAGCUCACCUAACCUGCAAGGGCCAUGAACAAAGUAUGGGAAUAUGCAACCACUUGCUGGCAGAGCAAACAGCUCUCAGACAAGAGGAUUGCUAUUGAAAUGUUGUUUUGUUGGCAGAAUAGGCUUUCCUGGUUGUCCAAGGUGAGCCUGACCUCUGUGGUUGUUGAAGUUCUCUUGUGGGCAAGCUGAGCAAUGCUGGAGUGCAGCUUUUAAGAUGGAUUAACUGUGAACUUAACAAAGGAAACAGUUCAGAGAGAGCAAAACCUUUACAUUGCACUACUAAGGAUGAAACAUAACUUUUGAUCCUGUAGGACAAAAGUUCCAAGGCUGGGAAUAAUUAUUUGAUAGGGUCACAGUUAUCUUGUCAGUGCAGAGUAAUGUUUGCAGCCUCCUCCUAGGAGAGAAUUCUUCCUUUCCAGGUGCAAGAAGGGCAGCAGAGAGGCAGGCAUGUGGCCAGAGGACAGUAACAAAAUCACGUACGCCACCUCACCCCUUCCACCCAGAGCAGGUCCCCACAUGCCAUAUUCUAGACUUUGAACUCAUUAGUCUUGAUGCAGUUUCACAUGCACAAACCCAGAAUUUUGUUACUAAACUGAAAUAAUGUGCACAGGCUGCUCCUAAGAGAUACCAGUCAUGUACCCAAGUAAAAUUCUGAAUUGCUAACUGCAUGCUGGCCUAAGGAUAAACAUGAAUUGAGGUUUCAGGGAAAGGAGGUGUCUGCUUCUGGCUCAGCUCAGUAGCUUCUAGCCACCAUCUGCAAAUCUCUUAGAUAUUUCAUAAAAUGGCAGAUUACUAUCCUUUAACUCUUUCACCAGUGCUGCAGGGCAGAAGUGCUGGAGAUUCACAUGAGCUAAAUGAAGUUUUCUGUUUGAUUGAGGCUGUGAAUUUGGUUGUGGUUUAUUUUAAGAUUAGUUCUUGCACUUUAGGUGUUUAAAACUGUGCUGUGGCAGGUGCUGGCUCUGACUGCAGCUAAAAAAAUCCAGUUUCUCCACAGAUAUUACAGGGAAAUCAGUUUGAAGAUUUUAAUUUUCUGACCUACACAGGUUUUUACUAGGAGGUGCAGCACAGUGCAAGACACUGUGCUUGACUACACAAAUAUAUAUUAAGCCUUGGUACAUUAAGAAUGUACAGAGUAGGAUUACAAGAAUUAGUUACGAAUCACAGACACUUAAAAAUGAAGAAACACUUCUGCAGCCUAAUUCUUGUCUAACAUUCAAAUCUAAAAUGAGAGAGAUUUUAGGUGUCUAAGUCCAAGUGAAAAAGCAAAAAAUCUGAGCUUGGUGCCAGCUAGACCCCUGUGCUCCAGAGUGAUUAUGAACACUUGUUUGACUGGUACAGACAAAGCCUGUGUACAAUCAGGAAAGACACAGUGCCACAAUCAAAACUUCCCUGAUCCUUAUCUUGCCCCUUCAACUUAAUUCCAUAAUCAGCACUUAGAUCACAGAGAGGCUGGAACUAUUAUCCAGGCCUCUCCUUCAGCAUUACAGUAUCUCAAACAAGUCCCUGCCUGUAAGGAUUUGCUUUCUUCAAAACUUUCACCCAGUCCCAUGGUUAACUUAAAUCAGCAAACUGCCAACAAAACUCUGAAGUUUAGAAAUAGCUUAAGCUCAGCCCAUUUCUGCCUUCAGAUCAGUUGGUUUUACAGUUUCCAAGCACCAUCAUUCUGCAUCCAGCUGGCAUCCAUUUGACUACAGUUGCUGCUGCUGGGGGGGCGGGAACCAACCACCCUCGUUGCUGAGUCUUAUCCCGCAAAUUCAGCCGAAAGAAACGAGUGCACGCCAUCUCGUGGCCCUGCACAGCUAUUUCCCGGCAACGAAGGGAGGGAGCUCCAAUUGCGACGAGGUUGGAUGUGGAUAGGAUUUAAAAGGCGGCUUUCAGAGGCUCAGACACAGCCCCACCUUCUGACCCCCCCCAGCUAAGAAACGUUCACCAUUAGUGCUUUGUCCACACUCCUGCCUUGACCUUGCAGCCUGGAGCAGCAGCAGAGCAUCAAACUGCAAAAGGCACUUCUUCAGCACAUGCUCACAUGGCUGUUGAGGCAAACCUGUCCUCACAACAAAUCCAGGGUGCCAGAGAACACAGCCCCCAGAUCAGCUUUUGGUGGAGCAGGAUAUCACUGUAUUCAUUUUAGAGUAGGUCAUACACAUGUAAAUAAUUUUUAAUUACAUGCAAGGCUGAGGAUGUUCAUGGUACAUCUAUUUUCAUCUGCUGUCAGGACUUGUUAAAGAACUCCAUGUGUCAGUGCUUUAAAUAAAGCUAAUGUGCCUGUUCCUAACUGUUCA